This is a long non-coding RNA of Bactrocera neohumeralis, 1031 nucleotides long. RefSeq lists it as uncharacterized. NCBI's taxonomy places the organism in Eukaryota, Metazoa, Arthropoda, Insecta, Diptera, Tephritidae. The transcript is spliced from 2 exons. The record is from RefSeq and is a predicted model, not a curated record.
AAGACCUCCACUCCGUUGGAAGGACCAGGUGGAGAUGGACCUGGCUACGCUUGGAAUAUCCAAUUGGCGCCACGUAGUGUAAAGAAACGACUGGCGCGCUGUUGUUAUCUCGGCUAUAAUCGCGUAUAAUUAUAAAGUGUCUAAAACUUCCGCAGUAAGAGUACAAAAUGAUAACGAUGUAAGGUAAAUAAAAGCUUAAACCUCUAUGACAUGUCAAUAUUGCUGUUGCAGCUGUAGCGGUUGUCUUAGUAGUAACCCAACGGUAAGCCCUGGAAAUUGCUGUUUUAGCAUGGUCGAAUAAUAGGGAGAGAGUGUUAGAUGAGUGGGAUUCAUUGGUCAUCCAAAAAUAUGGUUAGACUAAUGUGGUGACUAAUUGCACGAAGAAUAAAAACAUGGUAUGUCGGGAUCGAUUCUGGAUAAGUUGUUGCAGCAACGAAGAUGUGCAAGGGUCAAUCUAGAUUAUCGGAGCAACUCGGAUCUCUUCGUCUGCUGUGGGUGGUGGCUUAACUCCAACUACAGUUUCUUUAAAAUCAUCCCAGGAGAAAGUGCUUGAAAAGGAGUCCAUUGUGCAAACUUGCUAGGUCGGUCCUGAGUGUUCAUAAGUUAGUAAUAUUCAAAAUAUAAUUGUAAUCCAAUCUCGCCUUAAUACAUUUGCGAAAUUUAAUGCUUUACAAAAUGGUCUCUUAAUUUUUUUCGUAAACCUAACCGUUAAAAAGAUAUUAACGGUGGAAGUUUGAUUAUUUUAAGCCAAAUGUUUCUCUCUCUUAUGAAUUAUAUAACUCGAUGAAAAAAAAUCAUUUUAAAUUGCAAAACUCAUAGUUUUGUAGGAAAUUUACUGCAAACAUUAUUGCUUAGGACAACAUGUGUAUAAUAUAUACAGCAGAUCUUCCAACAGCUAAUAAUGUAUUAACUUCAACUUUUGCGGAUGACACAGCUAUAAUGAGCCGUAACAAAUGCCACAUUUUAGCAUCACGAAUAUUAGCGAAGCAUUUAAGUUCUGUCGAAGAGUGGCUAGCGAACUGGCGUAUAAA